UUCUUUGAAGUGCAGGUUGUCUUGUAUGUCUCACCUUUUGUUGUCUUUGAUGCUGGCAAUAGCAUUUGUUGUUGCAAUGUGCUCAAGGCUUUUUCUUAAGGGGGGGAGCAAUAAUGGACACCUGCUUUUUGAGAUUGCUCAUGUUCCUUUAACACCCUGUGCACUAUAAGCAAAGCUUUGUUCCUGCAAGUCAAAUCUAUGUUGUGAUUUAGCAUCUAUUUUGUUGCAUAUGGGCCCUCUAUCAUAUAUUGACCAGCUCAAGGAAUUAUUGUGUUAAUAACAAUGUUCCAAAGCAAAAAUGGGGAGUAUGUGUAUGGGGUUUUUGCACAUGCAAUGGUAUAUAUAUGCAUGCAUAUAAUCACAAAAAGAUGACUUUAAAGGGAUAUAUUGGCUUUGUCUUCAUAUAAACCCUUGUAAUUGUCUUGUACAAUGAAAAUGGCUCAAUUGUGAGCAAAAAAUUCAUACAACUUUCAACAAUGGAUCUCUUGGCUCUUGCAUCGAUGAAGAACGCAGCGAAAUGCGAUAAGUAAUGUGAAUUGCAGAAUUCAGUGAAUCAUCGAAUCUUUGAACACACCUUGUGCUCCUUGGGUUACCUAUGGAGCAUGCCUGUUUGAGUGUCAUGUUAAUCUCAAUUCCUUCAGGCAUUUUUUGUACAAACAAGAAAAGGCCUGCUCAAGGUAAAUUGGAUUUGGAGGUUUUCAUGCAGGUUCCCCUUUUGUAGGGAAUCAGCUCCUCUUAAAAAUAUUAGCUGGAGGGAUAAUGCAAAAUGGCUUCUUAGCAUUGUUCAUUGGCUUAUGGUGUAAUAA
Molecule: ribosomal RNA, 806 nt
Filed under: Coltricia subglobosa
Lineage: Eukaryota; Fungi; Basidiomycota; Agaricomycetes; Hymenochaetales; Hymenochaetaceae
Description: eukaryotic LSU rRNA
Rfam family: 5.8S ribosomal RNA (bases 466-620)
Source: RNAcentral